This 251-nucleotide ribosomal RNA is filed under the name uncultured bacterium. RNAcentral describes it as "partial 16S ribosomal RNA". It matches the Rfam family "Bacterial small subunit ribosomal RNA", at positions 525 to 775 of the family's 1533-position model. The record is from RNAcentral.
ACGUAGGGGGCAAGCGUUAUCCGGAUUUACUGGGUGUAAAGGGAGCGUAGACGGUGUGGCAAGUCUGGUGUGAAAGGCAUGGGCUCAACCUGUGGACUGCAUUGGAAACUGUCAUACUUGAGUGCCGGAGGGGUAAGCGGAAUUCCUAGUGUAGCGGUGAAAUGCGUAGAUAUUAGGAGGAACACCAGUGGCGAAGGCGGCUUACUGGACGGUAACUGACGUUGAGGCUCGAAAGCGUGGGGAGCAAACAG